RNAcentral lists this ribosomal RNA (351 nucleotides) under uncultured bacterium. RNAcentral describes it as "bacterial SSU rRNA". It matches the Rfam family "Bacterial small subunit ribosomal RNA", at positions 72 to 422 of the family's 1533-position model. The record is from RNAcentral.
AGGCCCCUUCGGGGGUACACGAGUGGCGAACGGGUGAGUAACACGUGAGCAACCUGCCCUUGACUCCGGGAUAACAGUUGGAAACAGCUGCUAAUACCGGAUAUGACCUUCGAUGACAUCAUCCGGAGGUGGAAAGCGCUUUAGCGGUCAAGGAUGGGCUCGCGGCCUAUCAGCUUGUUGGUGAGGUAACGGCUCACCAAGGCUUCGACGGGUAGCCGGCCUGAGAGGACGACCAGUCACACCGGAACUGAGACACGGUCCGGACUCCUACGGGAGGCAGCAGUGGGGAAUAUUGGACAAUGGGGGCAACCCUGAUCCAGCGACGCCGCGUGGGUGAAGAAGGCCUGCGGG